Molecule: long non-coding RNA, 5796 nt
Organism: Anolis carolinensis (green anole)
Lineage: Eukaryota; Metazoa; Chordata; Lepidosauria; Squamata; Anolidae
Exons: 2
Source: RefSeq, a predicted model, not a curated record
UUGUGCGUCAUUUGAUGGGAUCCAUGGGAUUUCGUCCUUGAAGUGUGUAGAAACGGAGGCCACCUUCUAUAUGAUAAGGUCCUUGGAAAAAGAAGUAGCUACUGCCAUAGGCAAGAAAUGGUUUUAAAAAAAGAAACAAGAAUAAUUGAAGUGGAUAAUGCAAGUAAUUUAAUAUGCUACCAGAGUCCUCCAGUUGUUUACAGUGGCCACUUCACAUCAGAAUUAGAGAAGAUAGGCUUAUAAAUUCUCGUUAUGACUAAUACAUUUAUCUUCAUCUGGCAAAAAGUAGUACCACCAUACAGCUUCAGAAAUUUAUUUUCAUUUCUUUAUCUGACUAUGUUACAGCACCAAAGGAAAAGCAAAACAUGAUGGUAGUAGCUGAAUUUCUUUGGAAAGCAUUAUUUUUCCUAGGUGUUCUUUCUCUCUCUCCUUCCUUCUUUCCUUAUCUUCUGAAUAAAGGCUGUACUGGAAGAAUAUACUGUAUUCUGAAAACAAUGUUAUCUCAUUUCCCCCCACUAAUGGGACUCAAGGCAGCCUACAAAAUAUUUAAAAGCAAGAUGGAGUAAAACUAUACAAAACGUAAAUAGAAGUUUCCUGAUGUUUUGAAAAAAACAAAAACAAAACCCCAACUAUUGAACUGUCUACCACUCAUUCUUCUAUCAGUUAAAAUAAUACAAGGGUUGAAUGAAAAGUAAUGCUUCCACCUUCAUUACUUGGGUUUCGAUGGGAAUAUUUUAAUAAAUCAAACACAGAAAUAAUCCUUAGAAUGUGCUCUUUAACUACCACUAUUCACUUUCCCACAUAAUCACCAGAAAAUUGGAUACAUUUCUGCCAAUGAUGAACAAGUUCUCUGAAGCCGUCACGGAAGAGGUCGACACUCUGUUUCCACAACCAGAGUCUCACAGUCCCCAUCGUGCACCGAUCUCCCGAUAGCCAAGCAAAGCAAUAAUGUGACCGAAACGUUCUUGUGAAAUAUCAAAUAUGCUUGAAAAUUCUCUCUGAGUGAUACGACGAUUGUCCUGAAUCAAUCUGUCAACCUUUUGCUUGUGAAACUCGGUGGUUGCUGUCACAGGAUGUCCAACUCUUUGUUUGUCAUGCAAGUUAGAUAUUCCCGCCUCAACAUCUUUAAACUUACUCGCCCAACAAUGCACAGUACUCACAUCAACACAAUCACCAUAAACAGCUUGCAUUCACUGAUGAAUCUCCUUUGGGGUGCUUCUGCUAUCAAGAAUUCAAUGACUGCAGGUUGCUUAAGUUGCAUUGACUGACUGUCUGCACAGGGUCCCAUACUUUGCACUUUAACAACACAACCAUUCAAUGCUAAGACUUUCCACCAAAUGGAACUGUAGAGGAGGGUCUACUGAACAAGCCAGUACCUGCUGCAUACCAGUACUGCCAUCUGUUGAGAAGUUACAAAGAUGGAGGCAUUACUUUUCAUUCAACCCUUGUAUACUCUGCUUGAAAGUGUACAUCAUCAUUCUUAUUGAAUGCAAGUGUAUCUUAAGAUACUGUUUCUUCCCAAAUGUUAUUAUAAUUAUGUGAAAAAUCCAUGCAAAACAAAGAAAAAGAGUUGUAACAAGGGCAACACAGAGAACUUUGGUUAUUUUUUAACUGUAUCAUUUCCAUUCCCCCUUUAAUCAUGGACGUUUUGCCACUAUCUUCCUUUGUUUUGCUAUUCUGACAAUCAGAAGCUAAAGCAUGUUUAGUCAUCCACUAAUUUUGACUGGAGCCAUAGCAACCAUGACAAACACACUGAGCUGUUAACACAAAAGAUAAAGACAUGCAUCCUGUUAAAUAGCUUGGAACUUUUUGACCCCAGUAUAGCUGGCAUCUUUUAUCACCUUUUUCUUCUUUCAUUUCCACAAAAUAGUUUAUUUGUGGUUCAUUUUUCCCCUGAAAGCAGCCACAUUGCUUUUCCUUGCUGCUGAAUUGUUAUACUAUUUCUGCUCAAAACACAACUUGGAGGAAUUUGUAACAUACUUCCUGUUUAUUUUUUAUAAGUAAAAGCAUUUAAAUACAUGCAAACGUAAACAUUCCUUCUUGACCAACUUGAAGGAUUAUAUUUUAAAACCCAGUCAGAAAGCCAAAUAUUUGUCAAGAAUAUGAAAAAGACAGACCCUCAAAGCACCACAGCUCAAGGAUGAAAUGGGACAGGCAAGCUAGACACUCCCCAUCAGACAUGUUUUCCAGCUGGAACUACGGAUCUCAACACUUUUAGGACCCAUCUACACUGACUAUUUAAUUCAGCUUCAAGAUGGCUUGAAACCAUGGUGGUCACAAAACGCAAAGUCCCAGGAAAGCCUGGCUUAUGUAAUAAAAGGCACUGCAGAAGAUCCCAGUGUAUAACAGAUCCAGGAUGAAAAUUGGCUCCACAAAAUGCAGAGUGCACUGUAGACAUCCACCCCUGCUGAAGCGCAGUAAAGAAUCCAUAAUGAGGGCUGCUGAGAAAUGUCCCAAGGAUGUGGUUGGGCAGCAGGGGCUAACUGACCCCUUGAGAGGGAUAAUUGAUUACCAUCCUUUUAACUGUCACUUUUCCUUUUUUAUCACUGCAGGAAAUGGAAAGAAAACCUUGCACAGUGGUUUGAAGUCAUGUUCUGUGUCCAAAGUAAUCACCAUCCUGGUUUCAAAUCAGUUCUAGGCAUAGUGAUCUAAUCAUCCGCGCCGUGACGCUGGUUCAUCCUGAACUUGUUCUAAGCUGCGUUAAAAUGGACCUGCAUCCAACCAAUUGGGAGGGAAAUACAUUUUGAGAUGUAGAAACGUUUAGAAAGAAAGAAAAAGUACACUAUGAACACAAUACAAGAUCUUCAAGGCAAGAUUUCUGGACAAACAAUGGUGCUUACUUAAAAGCAGAAAAUAAAGAUACUUCAAUAGAAAAGAAGCAAUCACCUGGAGAGAGAGAGUGAGAGAGUACUAAGACUGUUUAACUCAACAGGACUUUCACAAGGGAUGCACAGUUGUUUGAAUUAUUCUUCUGAGCAGAUUGUCAGAUUGGUGCAUCAAAUUUACUCAUUUCUAUGUUGAUUUGCAGAAUACCCUUAUUCAAAAUCCUAGGCAUCUGUGCAUAUUUUUUUCCAAAUGAACACAGUGUCAUGCACAUUUUAGAAAUCUUUGCAUUCCACACGCACGAAGUUAAAGUGUCACUGUGCUGGUGUUUCCAGAUGUGUGAAUUUUAGAAUUUACACCUGUGGGUCCAAAAUCCAGAUACUCAUCAUAAUGUAUCACUGCUUAUAAACCAUCUUCUCUAUUAUUGUUUUAUUAAAAGUUUGAUGCUGUGAAAGACUAUAGUCUUGGAACUUAUAUGAUAUAUACAUAGCACAUACACCAAAGAGUGUGGAUUAGUGCUUUAACAAUUGGACCACAACUCUGGAGACCAGGUUUUGAUCCUCCACUGGGUGACUUAGAGAGAGUCACACACUCAGUUCUAGAAAACCCCUUGGUAUGUAUUGCCAGAAACAACGACAAUAUAUACCAUAGGAUAUAUCAUCUAUAUGUUCAUUAUAGAUGAACUGCCCUUUUACCCCUUUCCAUAAACAACACAAAAUAAUUCUUGAUUUAGGAUACAAGUAUAUCUCAUGGAAUACCCAACAUGACUUUGCUUAUUAUUUCUCCCAGUGCUCAAUAUUUUCCUGCAUUCUCCAUGUUAGACACUCAUAAAAACAUUGAAAAACAUUAUUAGAAAACAGACAUUAUAAAGCCAGAUCUUGCUUAAUGGUCAGUUCAAAGAAUGCAGCUUCCAUCAAUAAUAUUUAUUUAUCCUGUCAGAAGCGAACUGAAGGUCCAGUUAUAAUGUAUUUUUUUAAAAAAUACACAAAGUCAAAAAUUUGGCAUUAUACUAUAUUUCCUUUGACCAGAAGCUGGCCACAUGGAGUGCCUCAUGUGUCACUGCAAAAAGGUACUCCACCUUGCAUGUGGCAGGGCUCAGGCCGCACUGUAGCAAGUGGUAUUUGGUUUGCUUUUCUCCACACUUGAACAUCAUGGAUUCCACUUUGUAGCCCCAUUUCUUAAGAUUAGCUCUGCAUCUCAUGAUGCCAGAACGCAGUCUGUUCAGUGCCUUCCAAGUCGCCUAGUCUUCUGUGUGCCCAGGAGGGAAUUUCUCAUCCAGUAUCAGCCACAGAUUGAGGUUCCGAGUUUUAGCCUGCCACUUUUGGACUCUCGCUUUCUGAAGUGUUCCUGUGAGUGUUUCUGUAGAUCUUAGGAAGUUAUUUUUUUGAUUUACAAUGUUGGUUUGCUGGCUGAUAUCCAAAAAGCGGAUGGGCCGGAAAUGUCAAUACUUUGGUCCUUUCAUUACUGGCUGCCACUUCCCGAUGGAUAUCAGGUGGUGCAAUUCUGGCUAAGCAGCAUAAUUUCUCCAAUGGUGUAGAGAAUAGACAUCAUGUGAUAAUGCAGCAUGUUUCAUUAAGAGCCACAUCCACUGUUUUAACAUGGUGAGAUGUGUUCCACACUGGGCAUGCAUAUUCAGCAGCAGAGUAGCAAAGCGCAAGGGCAGAUGUCUUUAUUGUAUCUGAUUGUGAUCCCCAGGUUGUGCCAGGAAGCUUUCGUAUGAUAUUGUUUCUAGCACCCACUUUUUGCUUGAUAUUCAAGCAGUGCUUCUUAUAAGUCAGAGCACAGUCCAGAGCAACUCCCCGAAAUUUUAGUGUGCUGCAAUGCUCCAGUAGGAUUCCUUCCCAGGUAAUCCUCAGAGCUCAAGAUGCUUGUCUGUUCUUAAGAUGAAAAGCACAUGUUUGUAUUUUAGAUGGAUUAGGAAUCAGCUGGUUUUCCCUGUAAUAGGCAGUAAGAGCACCUAAAGCUUCGGAGAGCUUCUGCUGGCACAAUUGUCAGCAUAAAUGAAACUCUCUGUCCCUUCUGGCAGUGGCUGGUCAUUUGGGUAAAUGUUAAACAUUGAUGAAGCAAGCAUGCUCCCCUGUGGCAGGCCGUUCUUCUGUUUUUGCCAUCUGCUUCUCUGAUCCUGGAACUCAACAAUAAAGCUCCAGUUUUGUAGCAGUUUUCCUAUGAAGUGGGUGUGAUGUCUCAGGGACCCUCGAGUCAUGACCCCGCAGCCAUUAUGGAUCAGACUGAAGAGGAUAUGGGGUUUGUGCCAACUCAGCAAGAUUCUGCUCCCUUCCAGAUGUUCCCUGUUGACAGUUUGGGCCCAAAGCUAAUUACAAAAGCCCUUAAAACAGAGCCUGGUUCCCCGGAAAGUGCUCCUUUUGAUAGGAGAUUGAUUCUGAAAACAUUCAGCUCUGAGGAGAAUUGGAGACAAAGUGCGAGAUUAGCGGAGAGAGAGGACGCUAAUUAAACCGAUUCCCUUGAGAGUUUCCAGGGAAGGUUGCAUCUGGCAAAGUUGUUGUCUUCAGUCCGUUUCCCUUGGGAAAAAGUGUUCAGGCACCUGGUUUGAGGGGAGAUUUGAAGUCCCAUAAAAGUUCUGCGCGCAGGCUAGCCAGUUGGAAAGUUAACAUCGACCCUAGUUCCUGCGGCGCGCUACUCUUGAGUAGACCGUGCGUUACAUCUCGUCUCCCUGUCAAGUCUGGACUGCAAUUCAGUUCCACCAUGACCAACUUUGCCUUGCCUUGUUAUCCCAGCCUUGGACAUUGAACCUGGAACUCUUUGAAAGACCUUGCUUUACUCCCUACUCAAACUGCUUGGAAGUUUGAGUGUGUUUCGGUUAUUGGAUUUAAAACUUUGAACUCUAAUACUGGACAUCUAACUUUAUAUUAUUGGACUAUAUUUGACCUUUCCUAAAAGGACUAUUGCUGGACUAUAUACUCUGCUUAUUUUUGUUUGACUCAUUUAUUGCUUUAAUAAAGAUAUUAGAUUGUU